This 269-nucleotide ribosomal RNA is filed under the name uncultured prokaryote. Its description in RNAcentral is "partial 16S ribosomal RNA". It matches the Rfam family "Bacterial small subunit ribosomal RNA", at positions 524 to 794 of the family's 1533-position model. The record is from RNAcentral.
UACGUAGGGGCUAGCGUUAUCCGGAAUUACUGGGCGUAAAGGGUGCGUAGGUGGUUUCUUAAGUCAGAGGUGAAAGGCUACGGCUCAACCGUAGUAAGCUCUUGAAACUGUGAGACUUGAGUGCAGGAGAGGAGAGUGGAAUUCCUAGUGUAGCGGUGAAAUGCGUAGAUAUUAGGAGGAACACCAGUUGCGAAGGCGGCUCUCUGGACUGUAACUGACGCUGAGGCACGAAAGCGUGGGGAGCAAACAGGAUUAGAUACCCUGGUAGU